Molecule: ribosomal RNA, 431 nt
Filed under: uncultured bacterium
Lineage: Bacteria
Description: bacterial SSU rRNA
Rfam family: Bacterial small subunit ribosomal RNA
Source: RNAcentral
GUGGGGAAUAUUGCGCUAAUGCGCGAAAGCGUGACGCAGCGACGCCGCGUGGGGGAUGAAGGCCCUCGGGUCGUAAACCCCUUUCGGCAGGGACGAAGCGAAAGUGACGGUACCUGCAGAAGAAGCCCCGGCUAACUACGUGCCAGCAGCCGCGGUAACACGUAGGGGGCGAGCGUUGUCCGGAUUCAUUGGGCGUAAAGCGCGCGUAGGCGGCCCGGAAAGUCGGAUGUGAAAACCCGGGGCUCAACCCCGGGCCUGCAUCCGAUACUUCCGAGCUAGAGGCAGGUAGGGGAGAUCGGAAUUCCUGGUGUAGCGGUGAAAUGCGCAGAUAUCAGGAGGAACACCGGUGGCGAAGGCGGAUCUCUGGGCCUGUCCUGACGCUGAGGCGCGAAAGCUAGGGGAGCGAACAGGAUUAGAUACCCCUGUAGUCC